This is a long non-coding RNA of Arabidopsis lyrata subsp. lyrata, 1275 nucleotides long. RefSeq lists it as uncharacterized. NCBI's taxonomy places the organism in Eukaryota, Viridiplantae, Streptophyta, Magnoliopsida, Brassicales, Brassicaceae. The transcript is spliced from 2 exons. The record is from RefSeq and is a predicted model, not a curated record.
GAACCAUGGAGGCUUUCGAUUUUUAAUUUGGUCUGUUUGGAAGGAGAAGUCUGUUGAUUCUCUUCCAGAGACUUCCGGAAUAUUGAUUCCGCCGUUGAGUAAUCGGAGCUGAUUAGGUUUGAUUUUGUUAUGGAGAUUUUGAUUGCGCUUGUGAACAAGAUUCAGAGAGCCUGUACAGCUCUGGGAGAUUACGGCGAGGGAAGCUCCCUCCCAACUCUGUGGGACUCAUUGCCGUCGUCGGUGGUCAGGUUUGGGCUUUUGACAGCCCAACUGCAUCAUACUAGCUAUUUCCCCUGCAAAUCAGGAUCUUGCUACAUCUGAUGCCAUUAAGAUCUCUCGUGAAGUUGAUCCAAAAGGUUCUGUUUGGCUGCGAAUGUGAUUAUAGGUUACUCUUGCUGGAUUUAGGAAUGGCAAGUUUUCUACAUUGGUGGCUACAAAUGUUGCUGCUCGUGGUCUAGAUAUCAAUGAUGUGCAGUUAAUUAUUCAGGUUAGUCAACACCUAUGAACUUUAAUCAUUCUGGUUUAAUGCCUCGUUGGUUUGUUAGAACCAAAGUUUAUAGUUUUUUUGUCAAAUUGAAUCUCUGUUUGAAUGUGAGUUGUGUGUUAAAGCUUGAAUCUUUUUGUCAAUUGUCUUUAUGUGUCUCAAAAACCUCACAUGGUUUUGUGUUGAAGCUCAAUGGAGGAAUUUCAGUCAUCUAUAGAUAUGGAGUCCCAUAGGAGUUCACCAGAGAAUGACCUUUUAUCGUCUGUAGCUUUGUCAGGUCCUUUAUUUCGGAGCACAAUCUAUCAUCUGAAAGUACCAAGGUUUUCAAUUACGUCUCUGGGACCAGAAUAUACACUUCAAAACAAGUCAUAUAGCCUAUAUAGUGAUAAAAGACAAUGUAGGAGCUUGACUGAAACUACAGUAUUUGAGAAAAAAAUUGGCUUCUACACCUUUUAUUUGAAGGUGGACCCUUCUUGGCCUCUCUGCAUGUACGAGUUACGUGGAAGGUGCAAUAAUGAUGAAUGUUCUUGGCAACAUUUCAAGGAUUUCUCUGAUGACAGUUUGCAAAAAAGAAACAGCAUGCAAGAGACAUGUUUAGUGAAAAUGAUAGAUAUCAAAGCUUGUAUGAGUUUGGUUGUAUGAAUGUUUGUAUUGGAAAAUAUUGUUUUGCAAAAAUUUGAAAUUUUUUUCUUAAGAACCAACCAUUGGAGAACAUUUUUGUUAAGAUAUUCUCUUUGUAUCUUAGCUUUCAAAAAGCAAAAUUUUAAUUUUAAAUAAUGUUAAGAGCAAAA